RNAcentral lists this long non-coding RNA (1064 nucleotides) under Equus caballus (horse). RNAcentral describes it as "lncRNA (ENSECAG00000050888.1)". The record is from RNAcentral. Lineage: Eukaryota; Metazoa; Chordata; Mammalia; Perissodactyla; Equidae.
UAGUAAUUAGCAUUCACCUGGGGUUUUAUAAGCAGGAGGUAGCUGCGACAUAUAACUAUCUUGUGAGGUGAAGAGGCCAGGAUUAUCACGUCCAUUUUGCAAAGAGAAAAUAAAAACUCAGACGUGGUGAGUGACUCACCACGAUUGGAUCAGGAGACAGCUGUCUGAAGAAGAAUGAGAGAAGGAGUUCCUUCCACCCAGGGAACAGCAUUGUACAGCAAAUGAAAAACACCACGACGAGGCAGAGAGAGACCACAGAAGAAAGGCGGCUGAAGAAAGAGGAAGUCUUGCACUUUGCAUGCCGGGAUUUGAGUGUGUCCAUCUGUCGUGAAGCCUGCAAGGGUCGGCUCACAUUAACAUGCAGCGUCACUGUAUCUCCACCCACACUACACAUUUGAGGAACGGAUGCAGUCAACAGGAGAAUCCAGGCCUUCCCAUGGCUGUGCUGGCAACAAUAGGUGUGCUCUGGCAACUGUCACGUUGAUUCCUGUCAGCCCCCGCCAGCCUGGGAAGUAGACUUUCACCACAAGAUGGAAAAGUAAGAGGGGAGAUUAUGAGGGGCUCCCAGCCUGCCUGACAGCAGUAGGAGAAGAGUCGGAACUCUUGGACUUUUUGCUUUGAGGCAUUUAAAUGGAAAUUAAAGUAAAUUUGCUCUUUUGGGAUAAUUCAUCCUUUUCUUGUGAUUUUUGAAACUAUGAAAUGUUGGAGCACUUAGGUAGGAAGAUGUUUUUGAAGUUUUGAGGUGCUUCCUUGAUGUUUCAACUUUGAAGCUCCUGUCUGUGAAUAAGUUCAGCCCUUAUUCCACCUUUCUCUUCUGAACAAUGCCAGUGAGUGAGAAGAAAAUAUCCAGUAGGGAGAAGUCACUUAUCUUUGAUCCACACACAAACCCCGCUCCAUUUAGCCAAUAGAGGAGCAGGAUUCAAAAAUGCCCGUCUGUCUGGAAACCACGCACAUCACAUUUAAUAGAAUGGGCAGCGACUGCACCUUCUAUCUCUAACUACUGCCUUUCUGCCUCCCAGAUGCCCCAGUGCAGACACGCUCUCUUAAAGGAGUCUCCUCGUGAC